Molecule: small RNA, 127 nt
Filed under: Marmota monax (woodchuck)
Lineage: Eukaryota; Metazoa; Chordata; Mammalia; Rodentia; Sciuridae
Source: RNAcentral
GCUGGGUGCAGUGGUGUAUGCCUAUAAUCCCAGCAACUUUGGAGGCUGAGACAGGAGGAUCACAAGUUUGAGGCCAGCCUCAGCAAUUUAGUGAGACCCUGAGCAACUUAAUGAGACCCUGUCUCUA